AGAGUUUGAUCAUGGCUCAGGACGAACGCUGGCGGCGUGCCUAAUACAUGCAAGUCGAACGCUUUGCUUAUCACCGUAGCUUGCUACACCGAUAAGCAUUGAGUGGCGAACGGGUGAGUAACACGUGGGUAACCUGCCCAAAAGAGGGGGAUAACACUUGGAAACAGGUGCUAAUACCGCAUAACCAUAACAACCGCAUGGUUGUUAUGUAAAAGAUGGUUUUGCUAUCACUUUUGGAUGGACCCGCGGCGUAUUAGCUAGUUGGUAAGGUAAAGGCUUACCAAGGCAAUGAUACGUAGCCGAACUGAGAGGUUGAUCGGCCACAUUGGGACUGAGACACGGCCCAAACUCCUACGGGAGGCAGCA
Molecule: ribosomal RNA, 366 nt
Filed under: uncultured Lactobacillaceae bacterium
Lineage: Bacteria; Bacillati; Bacillota; Bacilli; Lactobacillales; Lactobacillaceae
Description: bacterial SSU rRNA
Rfam family: Bacterial small subunit ribosomal RNA
Source: RNAcentral